UGUUAAAACCCUCGAGUCAGGGCCGGGUUCAAUUAUUCUAUACAAAGUCAAAUUCCGAUCCGUUGAAAAUGGUUUAAAAUGAGGAUCGGUUUGAGUUAAGAUCGAAGUCUCAUCAGAUAUUGUAGAGAUACUUGAGAAUAAACGCUGCAUAGAACUCUGUCUUCAUUAGUUCAGUUUCUGUUAUAUUCUUCUCUACACGAUGACUUCAAGGUCUGCUGGAGAACUGUAAGAUACUUGGCUUGAAUACUAGAGAACUCCCAAACUCCGGAUCUGAUCUUGUGAGAACCUGCAACGGUCAUGUGAAACCACGCUCCAUAUCCAAUCCAACCGGAGCAGGAUCAAGACUCACAGGUUCAUGUGCAUGUGAAACCAC
Molecule: long non-coding RNA, 373 nt
Organism: Eurytemora carolleeae
Lineage: Eukaryota; Metazoa; Arthropoda; Copepoda; Calanoida; Temoridae
Exons: 3
Source: RefSeq, a predicted model, not a curated record